Long non-coding RNA from Pocillopora verrucosa, 357 nucleotides. RefSeq lists it as uncharacterized. The record is from RefSeq and is a predicted model, not a curated record. Lineage: Eukaryota; Metazoa; Cnidaria; Anthozoa; Scleractinia; Pocilloporidae.
GUUCAGGUAGAGAUCGAGAGCGGUGCAUCACGGCCAUGGCAAGUAAGGGUUUUUUGUUGCUACUAUUGGUCUCCGCUAUGGUUUCAGCGAGCAUGGCUGCUCCGGACAAAGGUCAUGUCUGUUUGGGGGCCCACCACCCAUGUAAUCGUCUGCGCCAACGGCCAGGCCAACCUACAAGAUGCUGCAGUGGACAUUGUGAUUGCCUCGAUCUCGGGCGUAGUUGCUUAUGUAAGUAGCAUGUACAACUAUAAAGCUGGACACAACGACUGAAGAUGAAAAAAGGACAAGAACACGGCCGUCAGCUUGAGCAAGAGUUUUCAUAGCCCUCAGAAUUUGAUUUGUCAUACUGGGACUUUA